AGUGAACGCUGGCGGUAGGCCUAACACAUGCAAGUCGAACGGCAGCACAGUAAGAGCUUGCUCUUACGGGUGGCGAGUGGCGGACGGGUGAGGAAUACAUCGGAAUCUACUUUUUCGUGGGGGAUAACGUAGGGAAACUUACGCUAAUACCGCAUACGACCUACGGGUGAAAGCAGGGGAACUUCGGACCUUGCGCGAUUGAAUGAGCCGAUGUCGGAUUAGCUAGUUGGCGGGGUAAAGGCCCACCAAGGCGACGAUCCGUAGCUGGUCUGAGAGGAUGAUCAGCCACACUGGAACUGAGACACGGUCCAGACUCCUACGGGAGGCAGCAGUGGGGAAUAUUGGACAAUGGGGGCAAGCCUGAUCCAGCCAUACCGCGUGGGUGAAGAAGGCCUUCGGGUUGUAAAGCCCUUUUGUUGGGAAAGAAAAGCAGCAGGUUAAUACCCCGCUGUUCUGACGGUACCCAAAGAAUAAGCACCGGCUAACUUCGUG
RNAcentral lists this ribosomal RNA (492 nucleotides) under uncultured bacterium. Its description in RNAcentral is "partial 16S ribosomal RNA". It matches the Rfam family "Bacterial small subunit ribosomal RNA", at positions 29 to 507 of the family's 1533-position model. The record is from RNAcentral.